Molecule: ribosomal RNA, 253 nt
Filed under: uncultured bacterium
Lineage: Bacteria
Description: partial 16S ribosomal RNA
Rfam family: Bacterial small subunit ribosomal RNA
Source: RNAcentral
UACGGGGGGGGCAAGCGUUGUUCGGAAUUACUGGGCGUAAAGGGCUCGUAGGCGGCCAACUAAGUCAGACGUGAAAUCCCUCGGCUUAACCGGGGAACUGCGUCUGAUACUGGAUGGCUAGAGUGUGGGAGAGGGAUGCGGAAUUCCAGGUGUAGCGGUGAAAUGCGUAGAGAUCCGGAGGAAGACCGGUGGCGAAGGCGGUCUGCUGGGCAGUUUCUGACACUGAUGCGCGACAGCGUGGGGAGCAAACAGG